GCUUUUUACAUUGGCUCUUACGGGAGUCCAGGGUCCUAUAGAACUCGUCCCUGUUUAGAUCGUCUUAUCAGUAAAGAUGGCUUGCUCAUGGAUGGUUGUCUGAGUAAUUUAUGAUCAUUCACUCUUGUUUUGUGUGCUUGUGCAGUUAACAUAAAUAACAUCAACUGUGGAACGGCGAAUUGAUUUCUCGCGCAUUUCAGUGUUUCCGUGGUUGUUUUGCUUUAUGUAUUAUUCUUCCACACGCAGCCCCGCGAGCGAGCAUGUUGCUUAGUUUUUCGUAGCGUCGAUCGUAAUACCUGUGAUUGCAUAUGGUUGAUAUUAUGUCACCGUGUAUUUGUUACCUGCUGGAGUCUUAGUGGUAGUGCGGGAGCUGGAGCUCACCAUCUGCUUAGCUGCUUCUCCACAAUCUGAGAAUGGAACUGAUUUAAUCAAGAAUCAAUGUGUGCUCAGUCAGAAUUUUUUAUCAGUCAGCACCUCGCAUUUAUCACGGCAAACAACUGAUACCUCGCCACUUUUCCACCUUUGAAAUUAUCGCGAUGUUUUUUACUGAAUGCAGCUGUGGUUCUCUCUCCACAGUGCUUCGACUUUUCGACAUUAAUUUUGUUUACUCACUUUUCUAAACGAUAGUUGUCAUGCAGCUGUCAUGGAGAUCUGAGUACUGCAAAUUUUACUUCCCAAAUGCCAUAAUCCUUUCAAUAUCACAUGACCCAAGUGCCUUUGAUUGUUGCCAUUUGUGAUAAAUAGCUAGUGAAAUAAUUAUACUACUUGCUCAACUUCCAAUUUUCCGUCUCAGUCUUAUUUUGUGCCUUGAAUGUAAUAUUGUGCGAUCGGGAGUGCAACAAGUGGUCAUCGUAUCAAGAACAUAUCUGGAUUAUUUAUUACCCAUUCCUAGUGCGACAAGUGGUUAAAGUAGAAACAUAUUUGGAUUAUCUACGGGGAUACUGGAUCUAUGCUCCUUCUCAUCAGAAUUUAGGUAAGUUUGCAUCUGUUUUGAUUCUCCCAACAGAAUUGUGAGAUUCUAGCGGCGGUAAGCGGAUUGUUUUUUUAUGUCUAGUAUGUAGCAUCACUAAAAAUUGCACCGAGAGAUUAUUUAAGUUAGAUAUUCCAACCAGGGCCGGAUUUACCUAUAGGCUACAUAUGCUAUAGCCUAGGGCGCAACAUUUUAAGGGGUGCAAAAUUUUUGAG
Molecule: long non-coding RNA, 1185 nt
Filed under: Bemisia tabaci
Lineage: Eukaryota; Metazoa; Arthropoda; Insecta; Hemiptera; Aleyrodidae
Description: lncRNA ENSASIAIIG011156
Source: RNAcentral